AAGAGAAUACUGAGGUGUCGACGGUGACUACCGCGGAGAUUAAAUCGGACGUCGGAUUGGGCGUUUCGGAGGUGGAAUCCGGCGAUUCUUCUUCAAGCAUACUUGUGUUGAUUGCAGGAUUGCUCAUCAAGGCAAUUGGGGUUCAACUUAGCUUCUUCGUUUACAGUAUCUGCUUUCCACUGUGGUUCUUAUAUCUUUCUUACACGUUUGUUUUUCAUCCCUUUCAAACAAUUAAGCUCGGGAGAGCGUAUGUGAGAGGAAAGAUGUUU
RNAcentral lists this unclassified non-coding RNA (269 nucleotides) under Hevea brasiliensis (rubber tree). The record is from RNAcentral. Lineage: Eukaryota; Viridiplantae; Streptophyta; Magnoliopsida; Malpighiales; Euphorbiaceae.